Molecule: non-coding RNA, 616 nt
Filed under: Branchinella pinnata
Lineage: Eukaryota; Metazoa; Arthropoda; Branchiopoda; Anostraca; Thamnocephalidae
Source: RNAcentral
CUUUACUUUAAGAGUUAUAUGCUACGUUUUAUUUUUAAAGAUUAAGAGCAGUAAUAAAUAUUAGAGACUAAUUUAUUAGGUCUAGCUAUAAAGUAUAUAAGAGGACUAUCCUGUGCCAGCAUCCGCGGUCAUACAGGAUCUUAAAGGGAUUUUUAUAAGAGAAUUUCUUUUUCUUUUGAAAUGAUUUUUAGGAGUUAAAAGGUGAAAUUUGUAUUUGAUUGUUAUUUAUUUUGGGGAAUAGAGUUAGGGUAGAUUUAAAACUGGGAUUAGAUACCCCACUAUUUUAUCUUAUAUUCUUGGGUAGUAAUAUUGAAACCUAAAGAAUUUGGCGGUUUUUGAACUCUCUAGAGGAAUCUGUCCUAUAAUCGAUAGCCCACGAACUUAUUUACCUAUUCUUGUUUUCAGGCUUAUAUACCGCCGUUUAGGGAACUAAAUGAAUAGAUUUCCAAGAUUAAUUAGUUAAUAAAAUCAGGUCAAGGUGUAGCUUAUGGAUAGGAAGAGAUGGAUUACAAUAAAAUUUUAAACGAACGUUGAAACUUACGUUUGCCCAGAAGGUGGAUUUAGAAGUAAAAAUAAAAGUUUGGGAAAUGAGCUCUUGAAAAUGUACACAUCGCCC